This is a long non-coding RNA of Apis mellifera (honey bee), 1464 nucleotides long. RefSeq lists it as uncharacterized. Lineage: Eukaryota; Metazoa; Arthropoda; Insecta; Hymenoptera; Apidae. The transcript has 3 exons. The record is from RefSeq and is a predicted model, not a curated record.
AGCAUUUCUACGUAUUAUUAAAAAUAGGAAAUUCUCUUACUCGUUUCGCAUAAAAUUUUUCUAAACAUAACCUAUCAUCACAUUCUUGAGAAAUUACUUUUCCAAGGAAAACAAAUCUCGAUAUCUCUAUUCUAAUCCGAUUACCUAGUUCACCUCGAGUUCGAUCUUUUUUUUUCUCGAUGAGCGAUCAGUAGCGACAGUAGCGACUCAUAGCGAAUCAUCUUGGCCACGAUGGAAACAAUGCAUCAGAGUCGGUUGCAUUAGAAGGAGCGAACGGUUACACCUGUAACGGACGAAUAGCGAUGUCGAAAGGCCGGUUCGAGCACCGUGACGUGUCCCAAGCGAAUUUCUUCGUAACCGCACCACGCCAGCCCACACCGUGAGCAAAUUUGCAACGGAAUGGACGGCGUUUAGGUAGCGCGAAUUUGCAUUUUCGCCAUUUUACGGCCAUCCGUGCGGAAAACAGGGCUCGUUCGCCGAGAAAACUGCUCCUUUCCAAUGUUUUAUUCAUUCCAAGUGAUUCCCGUGUAACGAGAGAGAAUAGAUUCAUUUCUCGUAUCGGCCAAUUUCAAUCCUCGCGUAUUUUUAUUAUCGAGAAAGAAAAGCCUGCAUAAAUUUCCUUAAACCUUCAUCAAAAAUAAAGAUUCAACGGACAUAUGUGACAAAUAAAAAAGAUCAGUGCAGCGAAGAAAUAACGGAUUCUCUUAUUGUUCUCCUUGGCUUUUCUCGACUUCCAUCCGAAGCCAGUUCUUCGAAACUAAUUGGCCAUCGGUUAACUUACCUCGUUAGCCAACGUCCCAAUACUUGCAAAACGGGCGUGCGGUUGAAUCAUAAAAGCGACGUGCCCAUCGGUUGCAUCGAAAAGGAAAUAAAGAAGGCGUGAGGAGACACGAGCCAUCUUGUCACCGAUUACGAAAGGAGGAAAUUAUUACGCGUCCUCAUACGCGUUGUAAAAUGUCAUCGAGAAACGUCGAAAAACUCAUUUCUCUCUUUCGAUCCUUGGGCUUUAUAAAAAAAAAAAAAAAGAAGAAGAAGAAACGUUGCGUGGAUCGCGCACGCCUUUCCUGAAAAUUGCUGUUUCAUUUCAAUUAAACCGAUGAUUAACGACAGCACACACUGCUGUUGGAUCCGCAAUUAUUUAAGGCAAUUAUCGAUCGUCCAUGAUUCUUCAAUGAAUCUGUUUCCUUUCCUACGGUAUAAUAAAAAGUGGAAAACAGAAUUUUUUCACUAGCAGAAUGUCAAAGUCUCUGUCUUUUAAAUGGCAACUUAUAACUACAUGGUAAUAUUCCAAAUGUUCCUUUCAAUGAACGCAGCAACUUGAAUCAAGAUCAUAAUCUGUGAACUCAUGAAAGUAUCAAUGUAAAUUGUAUAGAAGAACGGAUUUCUGAUUAUGGAUGUUUCAAAGAAAGGAGAUUAUUUCAUGAUAAAUGAGAAAAUAUACUCAUAAAAAGUAUAAAUUUAAAA